CCAAUAGCGUAUAUUAAAGUUGUUGCAGUUAAAAAGCUCGUAGUUGAAUUUCGGGAUCAGUUGGUCGGUCGUGCCUUGGUACGUACUGGCCAAAUUGAUUCCUCCCUUCUGACGAACCACGAUGCCAUUAAUUUGGUGUCGUGGGGAAUCAGGACUGUUACUUUGAAAAAAUUAGAGUGUUUAAAGCAGGCUCGCGCUUG
Molecule: ribosomal RNA, 200 nt
Filed under: uncultured Glomus
Lineage: Eukaryota; Fungi; Glomeromycota; Glomeromycetes; Glomerales; Glomeraceae
Description: partial small subunit ribosomal RNA
Rfam family: Eukaryotic small subunit ribosomal RNA
Source: RNAcentral